CCUACGGGUGGCAGCAGUGGGGAAUAUUGGACAAUGGGGGCAACCCUGAUCCAGCCAUGCCGCGUGUGUGAAGAAGGCCCUCGGGUUGUAAAGCACUUUCAGUGAGGAAGAACGCCUGGUGGUUAAUACCCAUCAGGAAAGACAUCACUCACAGAAGAAGCACCGGCUAACUCCGUGCCAGCAGCCGCAGUAAUACGGAGGGUGCGAGCGUUAAUCGGAAUUACUGGGCGUAAAGCGCGCGUAGGUGGCUUGAUAAGCCGGUUGUGAAAGCCCCGGGCUCAACCUGGGAACGGCAUCCGGAACUGUCAAGCUAGAGUGCAGGAGAGGAAGGUAGAAUUCCCGGUGUAGCGGUGAAAUGCGUAGAGAUCGGGAGGAAUACCAGUGGCGAAGGCGGCCUUCUGGACUGACACUGACACUGAGGUGCGAAAGCGUGGGUAGCAAACAGGAUUAGAUACCCUUGUAGUC
This 465-nucleotide ribosomal RNA is filed under the name Vreelandella stevensii. RNAcentral's name for it is "partial 16S ribosomal RNA". It matches the Rfam family "Bacterial small subunit ribosomal RNA", at positions 338 to 795 of the family's 1533-position model. The record is from RNAcentral. Lineage: Bacteria; Pseudomonadati; Pseudomonadota; Gammaproteobacteria; Oceanospirillales; Halomonadaceae.